AUCGAGCUGACGAGUCCUAAAUAGGACGAAACAUGUGUUAAACUAGAU
Schistosoma rodhaini is the source of this 48-nucleotide non-coding RNA. NCBI's taxonomy places the organism in Eukaryota, Metazoa, Platyhelminthes, Trematoda, Strigeidida, Schistosomatidae. The record is from Rfam.